RNAcentral lists this unclassified non-coding RNA (1145 nucleotides) under Hevea brasiliensis (rubber tree). The record is from RNAcentral. Lineage: Eukaryota; Viridiplantae; Streptophyta; Magnoliopsida; Malpighiales; Euphorbiaceae.
AACUAAAAAGAAACCACCCCACUUCACCUUUUGCAUUAGGUAUGGAGUAUGGCUCAAGUCAUCCUCAUGGAAUUGGUCUCUUUCACAGUCUCUCACUCUUCGGGGUUCAAUUGAAUCAAGUGGACCUAACAUUACUCACUCCAUGUGCCCCCAUGCCACUAUAUAAGGAACUCUUCCAACAGCUAUCCUAAAAGCAAUCCAGCAACAAUCCCAAAAAUCAAUCUUCUAGAAGUGUCUUUCUUCUCUUCUUUUCUAUUCUGCUCCUCCUAAUUUCUCUAUGACAAUGGCGAGUUUUGGGUCAGGAGUUGUUUGUGCAAUUUUUGUCCUGAUUAGUAUGGUGGUGCCAAGUUUGGCAACAGUUUACACUGUAGGAGACUCCACUGGCUGGACAAUGGGCACUGAUUAUAGCACCUGGACUAGUGGCAAGACCUUCACAGUUGGUGACAGCCUUGUAUUUAACUAUGGAGGAGGGCACACAGUGGAUGAAGUGAGUGCCAGUGACUACAACACAUGCACAGUGGGGAAUGCAAUUACUUCAGACAACAGUGGAGCCACCACCAUAGCCCUCAAGACUGCAGGGACUCACUACUACAUAUGUGGAGUGAUUGGGCAUUGUGGAAGUGGCAUGAAGAUUGCAGUAACUGUUAAGGCAGCAUCAUCAUCAGGGACUACUACUACUACCCCAUCUUCAGGUUUAGGGUCUAGUACCACUCCUGCUACUACCUCACCUGCUGGGACUAAUACCACCAUCUACAAACCUUCCUCUAAUAAUAUGCCCGAAUCUGCUUCAACAACUCUUUCUCCAUAUGUGGCUACGGUGGCUACCUGGGUUGCAUUAUUUUGUGCGAUGGUUUUCUCAUUGUAAAGUAUGGCAACCUAACCAGGAUAGAGGCAGUGCUAUCUUUCAGUUUCUUUUCUCUUGGUCUUUUUCCUUAAUUUGUAUUCGGGACUAUUACUCUUCCUUUUUUUUUUAAUUAUUAUUAUUGAUUAGGACCUUACCUAAUAGGGCCUUAUUAUUGUUAGAUCUCUCUGUCCCACUUCUUUCUUUUCUAUUGCUUGUUAACUAUUCUAGGAAUAGUAACUCUAAUUAUGUUAUUGUAUUUAUUUAUGUGGUAAAAAAUGCCAUUCAAUAUCCUAUCCAAAGU